AUUGAACGCUGGCGACAUGCCUUACACAUGCAAGUCGAACGGCAGCACGGGUGCUUGCACCUGGUGGCGAGUGGCGAACGGGUGAGUAAUACAUCGGAACAUGUCCUGUAGUGGGGGAUAGCCCGGCGAAAGCCGGAUUAAUACCGCAUACGAUCUACGGAUGAAAGCGGGGGAGCUGCGGGCCUCGCGCUAUAGGGUUGGCCGAUGGCUGAUUAGCUAGUUGGUGGGGUAAAGGCCUACCAAGGCGACGAGCAGUAGCUGGUCUGAGAGGACGACCAGCCACACUGGGACUGAGACACGGCCCAGAGUACUGCGGGAGGCAGCAGUGGGGAAUUUUGGACAAUGGGCGAAAGCAUGAUCCAGCAAUGCCGCGUGUGUGAAGAAGGCCUUCGGGUUGUAAAGCACUUUUGUCCGGAAAGAAAUCCUUGGCCCUAAUACGGUCGGGGGAUGACGGUACCGGAAGAAUAAGCACCGGCUAACUACGUG
This 486-nucleotide ribosomal RNA is filed under the name uncultured bacterium. RNAcentral's name for it is "partial 16S ribosomal RNA". It matches the Rfam family "Bacterial small subunit ribosomal RNA", at positions 29 to 507 of the family's 1533-position model. The record is from RNAcentral.